RNAcentral lists this unclassified non-coding RNA (305 nucleotides) under plant metagenome. RNAcentral describes it as "partial contains 5.8S ribosomal RNA, internal transcribed spacer 2, and large subunit ribosomal RNA". The stretch from base 1 to 105 matches the Rfam family "5.8S ribosomal RNA", at positions 50 to 154 of the family's 154-position model. The record is from RNAcentral.
GAAAUGCGAUAAGUAAUGUGAAUUGCAGAAUUCGGUGAAUCAUCGAAUCUUUGAACGCACAUUGCGCCCGCCAGUAUUCUGGCGGGCAUGCCUGUUCGAGCGUCAUUUCAACCAUCAAGCCCCCGGCUUGUGUUGGGGACCUGCGGCUGCCCGCAGGCCCUGAAAAACAGUGGCGGGCUCGCUGUCACACCGAGUGUAGUAGCAUACAUUCUCGCUCAGGGCGUGCUGCGGGUUCCGGCCGUUAAACGACCUUCAUAACCCAAGGUUGACCUCGGAUCAGGUAGGAAGACCCGCUGAACUUAAGC